UGAUGGCCUACCAAGGCGACGACGGGUAGCCGGCCUGAGAGGGUGACCGGUCACACUGGGACUGAGACACGGCCCAGACUCCUACGGGAGGCAGCAGUGGGGAAUAUUGCACAAUGGGCGAAAGCCUGAUGCAGCGACGCCGCGUGAGGGAUGACGGCCUUCGGGUUGUAAACCUCUUUCAGCAGGGAAGAAGCCUUUUGGGGUGACGGUACUUGCAGAAGAAGCACCGGCUAACUACGUGCCAGCAGCCGCGGUAAUACGUAGGGUGCAAGCGUUGUCCGGAAUUAUUGGGCGUAAAGAGCUCGUAGGCGGCUUGUUGCGUCGGAUGUGAAAGCUCGGGGCUUAACCUUGGGUCUGCAUUCGAUACGGGCAGGCUGGAGUUCGGUAGGGGAGAUCGGAAUUCCUGGUGUAGCGGUGAAAUGCGCAGAUAUCAGGAGGAGCACCGGUGGCGAAGGCAGAUCUCUGGGCCGAUACUGACGCUGAGGAGCGAAAGCGUGGGGAGCGAACAGGAUUAGAUACCCUGGUAGUCCACGCUGUAAACGUUGGGAACUAGGUGUGGGUGGCAUUCCACGUUGUCCGUGCUGUAGCUAACGCAUUAAGUU
Molecule: ribosomal RNA, 602 nt
Filed under: uncultured bacterium
Lineage: Bacteria
Description: bacterial SSU rRNA
Rfam family: Bacterial small subunit ribosomal RNA
Source: RNAcentral